Molecule: long non-coding RNA, 372 nt
Organism: Oncorhynchus mykiss (rainbow trout)
Lineage: Eukaryota; Metazoa; Chordata; Actinopteri; Salmoniformes; Salmonidae
Source: Ensembl
AUGCUGUGUCUGAAGAUUGUUAAAGUCGUGACCCAGACAGCCCUCCGCAUUCUCCUACCAGCGCUGGCUCGUAUCAUGGGGGUGAACCUGAGGAGUGGGGCAACCUCCCCAGAAUCCCAGUGCUCUCUGACAGGGUCUGAGGAUUCCUUAGGCAGUCUGGAUGAGAGAGAGAAAAGGCUGCUGAUCAGUGAGAUGAACUACUGGACUAAGGAGAGGAGGAGGAAUGGCAGUGCAGGAUGCCGCCAAAAAUCCACUCGCAGAACCUCAUCACCAUGCUGUUCGCCUAAGAGCGUUCCAAGAGAGGAAACAAAAAUGACUGCCAUUCAGUCCAGGACCAGACUGAGAUUCCCUCUACUGAUGGACAUUGCAUAG